GAUUGACUACUUCUUUUUGUGGUAUCCUUUCUUCUGCUUAGUUGGCUUCAGAUGGAAAGCUACAAGGAAGGAACAUUUCAAGUUUAUGGAACUUGCUUUAGAAUAGAUAUACAAGCAAUUGAUGAAGAGAAACAGGCAUCCCUUCGGUGGGAGGUGCAUCAUGGGAUAGAGCGCAAGUAAGAGGAUUUUGAUUUAGGCUUUGUCUUAAAGGUGCAGAAUCCGUUGUGUUAGCUCUUCCCCUCAACAACAAGUUCAACAUUUCAGUCUUUUGAGACAAUCUACUAUUGGCUCUCAACAUAUCAUAGGAA
Molecule: long non-coding RNA, 308 nt
Organism: Lycium ferocissimum
Lineage: Eukaryota; Viridiplantae; Streptophyta; Magnoliopsida; Solanales; Solanaceae
Exons: 3
Source: RefSeq, a predicted model, not a curated record